AACGAACGCUGGCGGCAGGCCUAACACAUGCAAGUCGAACGGACCCUUCGGGGUUAGUGGCGCACGGGUGAGUAACGCGUGGGAACGUGCCCUUAGGUACGGAACAACAGUUGGAAACGACUGCUAAUACCGUAUGAUGACGUAAGUCCAAAGAUUUAUCGCCUAAGGAUCGGCCCGCGCUAGAUUAGAUAGUUGGUGAGGUAAUGGCUCACCAAGUCUACCAUCUAUAGCUGGUCUCAGAGGAUGAUCAGCCACACUGGAACUGAGACACGGUCCAGACUCCUACGGGAGGCAGCAGUGAGGAAUAUUGGACAAUGGGCGAAAGCCUGAUCCAGCCAUGCCGCGUGAAUGAUGAAGGCCUUAGGGUUGUAAAGUUCUUUUAGUAGUGAAGAUGAUGACGGUAACUACAGAAAAAGCUCCGGCUAACUUCGUGCCAGCAGCCGCAGUAA
This 449-nucleotide ribosomal RNA is filed under the name uncultured bacterium. Its description in RNAcentral is "partial 16S ribosomal RNA". It matches the Rfam family "Bacterial small subunit ribosomal RNA", at positions 29 to 523 of the family's 1533-position model. The record is from RNAcentral.